This 468-nucleotide ribosomal RNA is filed under the name uncultured bacterium. Its description in RNAcentral is "partial 16S ribosomal RNA". It matches the Rfam family "Bacterial small subunit ribosomal RNA", at positions 28 to 507 of the family's 1533-position model. The record is from RNAcentral.
GACGAACGCUGGCGGCGUGCUUAACACAUGCAAGUCGAACGGAAAGGCCCUGCUUUUGUGGGGUGCUCGAGUGGCGAACGGGUGAGUAACACGUGAGUAACCUGCCCUUGACUUUGGGAUAACUUCAGGGAACUGGGGCUAAUACCGGAUAGGAGCUCCUGCUGCAUAGUGGGGGUUGGAAAGUUUCGGCGGUUGGGGAUGGACUCGCGGCUUAUCAGCUUGUUGGUGGGGUAGUGGCUUACCAAGGCUUUGACGGGUAGCCGGCCUGAGAGGGUGACCGGCCACAUUGGGACUGAGAUACGGCCCAGACUCCUACGGGAGGCAGCAGUGGGGAAUAUUGCACAAUGGGCGGAAGCCUGAGGCAGCAACGCCGCGUGCGGGAUGACGGCCUUCUGGUUGUAAACCGCUUUCGCCUGUGACGAAGCGUGAGUGACGGUAAUGGGUAAAGAAGCACCGGCUAACUACGUG